AGCCCGCUCGCCGGAAGACCAAGGGUUCCUGUCCAACGUUAAUCGGGGCAGGGUGAGUCGACCCCUAAGGCGAGGCCGAAAGGCGUAGUCGAUGGGAAACAGGUUAAUAUUCCUGUACUUGGUGUUACUGCGAAGGGGGGACGGAGAAGGCUAUGUUGGCCGGGCGACGGUUGUCCCGGUUUAAGCGUGUAGGCUGGUUUUCCAGGCAAAUCCGGAAAAUCAAGGCUGAGGCGUGAUGACGAGGCACUACGGUGCUGAAGCGACAAAUGCCCUGCUUCCAGGAAAAGCCUCUAAGCAUCAGGUAACAUCAAAUCGUACCCCAAACCGACACAGGUGGUCAGGUAGAGAAUACCAAGGCGCUUGAGAGAACUCGGGUGAAGGAACUAGGCAAAAUGGUGCCGUAACUUCGGGAGAAGGCACGCUGAUAUGUAGGUGAAGCGACUUGCUCGUGGAGCUGAAAUCAGUCGAAGAUACCAGCUGGCUGCAACUGUUUAUUAAAAACACAGCACUGUGCAAACACGAAAGUGGACGUAUACGGUGUGACGCCUGCCCGGUGCCGGAAGGUUAAUUGAUGGGGUUAGCGGUAACGCGAAGCUCUUGAUCGAAGCCCCGGUAAACGGCGGCCGUAACUAUAACGGUCCUAAGGUAGCGAAAUUCCUUGUCGGGUAAGUUCCGACCUGCACGAAUGGCGUAAUGAUGGCCAGGCUGUCUCCACCCGAGACUCAGUGAAAUUGAACUCGCUGUGAAGAUGCAGUGUACCCGCGGCAAGACGGAAAGACCCCGUGAACCUUUACUAUAGCUUGACACUGAACAUUGAGCCUUGAUGUGUAGGAUAGGUGGGAGGCUUUGAAGUGUGGACGCCAGUCUGCAUGGAGCCGACCUUGAAAUACCACCCUUUAAUGUUUGAUGUUCUAACGUGGGCCCCUUACCGGGGUUGCGGACAGUGUCUGGUGGGUAGUUUGACUGGGGCGGUCUCCUCCUAAAGAGUAACGGAGGAGCACGAAGGUUGGCUAAUCCUGGUCGGACAUCAGGAGGUUAGUGCAAUGGCAUAAGCCAGCUUGACUGCGAGCGUGACGGCGCGAGCAGGUGCGAAAGCAGGUCAUAGUGAUCCGGUGGUUCUGAAUGGAAGGGCCAUCGCUCAACGGAUAAAAGGUACUCCGGGGAUAACAGGCUGAUACCGCCCAAGAGUUCAUAUCGACGGCGGUGUUUGGCACCUCGAUGUCGGCUCAUCACAUCCUGGGGCUGAAGUAGGUCCCAAGGGUAUGGCUGUUCGCCAUUUAAAGUGGUACGCGAGCUGGGUUUAGAACGUCGUGAGACAGUUCGGUCCCUAUCUGCCGUGGGCGCUGGAGAACUGAGGGGGGCUGCUCCUAGUACGAGAGGACCGGAGUGGACGCAUCACUGGUGUUCGGGUUGUCAUGCCAAUGGCACUGCCCGGUAGCUAAAUGCGGAAGAGAUAAGUGCUGAAAGCAUCUAAGCACGAAACUUGCCCCGAGAUGAGUUCUCCCUGACUCCUUGAGAGUCCUGAAGGAACGUUGAAGACGACGACGUUGAUAGGCCGGGUGUGUAAGCGCAGCGAUGCGUUGAGCUAACCGGUACUAAUGAACCGUGAGGCUUAACCUU
RNAcentral lists this ribosomal RNA (1620 nucleotides) under Escherichia coli. RNAcentral's name for it is "bacterial LSU rRNA". It matches the Rfam family "Bacterial large subunit ribosomal RNA", at positions 1327 to 2925 of the family's 2925-position model. The record is from RNAcentral. Lineage: Bacteria; Pseudomonadati; Pseudomonadota; Gammaproteobacteria; Enterobacterales; Enterobacteriaceae.